UCUCCGUAGGUGAACCUGCGGAGGGAUCAUUACAGAGAUCAUGCCCUACCGGGUAGAUCUCCCACCCUAUGUUAUUAUUACUUUGUUGCUUUGGCGGGCCGUUAGGCUCCGGCCCGACUACCGGCCCCGGCUGGUAAGCGCCCGCCAGAGGACCCAAAACCCUGAAUAUUAGUGUCGUCUGAGUACUAUAUAAUAGUUAAAACUUUCAACAACGGAUCUCUUGGUUCUG
RNAcentral lists this unclassified non-coding RNA (229 nucleotides) under plant metagenome. Its description in RNAcentral is "partial contains small subunit ribosomal RNA, internal transcribed spacer 1, and 5.8S ribosomal RNA". The record is from RNAcentral.